UACGUAGGGGGCAAGCGUUAUCCGGAAUCAUUGGGCGUAAAGCGCGUGUAGGCGGCUCGGUAAGUCUGCUGUGAAAGUCCAGGGCUCAACCCUGGGAUGCCGGUGGAUACUGUCGAGCUCGAGUCCGGAAGAGGCGAGUGGAAUUCCUGGUGUAGCGGUGAAAUGCGCAGAUAUCAGGAGGAACACCAAUGGCGAAGGCAGCUCGCUGGGACGUGACUGACGCUGAGACGCGAAAGCGUGGGGAGCAAACAGG
RNAcentral lists this ribosomal RNA (253 nucleotides) under uncultured bacterium. RNAcentral's name for it is "partial 16S ribosomal RNA". It matches the Rfam family "Bacterial small subunit ribosomal RNA", at positions 524 to 776 of the family's 1533-position model. The record is from RNAcentral.